This 68-nucleotide transfer RNA is filed under the name Ictidomys tridecemlineatus (thirteen-lined ground squirrel). RNAcentral describes it as "Spermophilus tridecemlineatus (thirteen-lined ground squirrel) tRNA". It matches the Rfam family "tRNA". From Rfam's summary of the family: Transfer RNA (tRNA) molecules are approximately 80 nucleotides in length. Their secondary structure includes four short double-helical elements and three loops (D, anti-codon, and T loops). Lineage: Eukaryota; Metazoa; Chordata; Mammalia; Rodentia; Sciuridae. The record is from Rfam by way of RNAcentral.
GUGGUGGCUCAGUGGUAGAGCACUUGCUUACCAUAUGUGAGACACUGAGUUCGAUUCUCAGCACCACA